This 316-nucleotide ribosomal RNA is filed under the name uncultured bacterium. RNAcentral describes it as "bacterial SSU rRNA". It matches the Rfam family "Bacterial small subunit ribosomal RNA", at positions 28 to 334 of the family's 1533-position model. The record is from RNAcentral.
GACGAACGCUGGCGGCGUGCCUAAUACAUGCAAGUAGAACGCUGACUACUUUAGCUUGCUAGAGUAGAAGGAGUUGCGAACGGGUGAGUAACGCGUAGGUAACCUGCCUACUAGCGGGGGAUAACUAUUGGAAACGAUAGCUAAUACCGCAUAACAGUGUUUAACACAUAUUAGAUGCUUGAAAGAUGCAAUUGCAUCACUAGUAGAUGGACCUGCGUUGUAUUAGCUAGUUGGUGGGGUAACGGCUCACCAAGACGAUGAUGGGUAGCCGGCCUGAGAGGGUGAACGGCCACAAGGGGACUGAGACACGGCCCUU